UAUACAUGCAGUCGAACGCGUCUUGGUCAAUGAAGUUGAGUGCUUGCAUUUAACUGAUUUGACAUUAAGACGAGUGGCGAACUGGUGAGUAACACGUGGGUAACUUGCCCCGAAGCGGGGGAUAACAUUUGGAAACAGGUGCUAAUACCGCAUAACAACAAAAACCACAUGGUUUUUGUUUAAAAGAUGGUUUCGGCUAUCACUUUGGGAUGGACCCGCGGCGUAUUAGCUAGUUGGUGAGGUAAUGGCUCACCAAGGCAAUGAUACGUAGCCGACCUGAGAGGGUAAUCGGCCACAUUGGGACUGAGACACGGCCCAAACUCCUACGGGAGGCAGCAGUAGGGAAUCUUCCACAAUGGACGAAAGUCUGAUGGAGCAACGCCGCGUGAGUGAUGAAGGGUUUCGGCUCGUAAAACUCUGUUGUUGGAGAAGAACGGGUGUCAGAGUAACUGUUGACAUCGUGACGGUAUCCAACCAGAAAGCCACGGCUAACUACGUGCCAGCAGCCGCGGUAAUACGUAGGUGGCAAGCGUUGUCCGGAUUUAUUGGGCGUAAAGCGAGCGCAGGCGGUUUUUUAGGUCUGAUGUGAAAGCCUUCGGCUUAACCGGAGAAGUGCAUCGGAAACCGGGAGACUUGAGUGCAGAAGAGGACAGUGGAACUCCAUGUGUAGCGGUGAAAUGCGUAGAUAUAUGGAAGAACACCAGUGGCGAAGGCGGCUGUCUGGUCUGCAACUGACGCUGAGGCUCGAAAGCAUGGGUAGCGAACAGGAUUAGAUACCCUGGUAGUCCAUGCCGUAAACGAUGAGUGCUAAGUGUUGGAGGGUUUCCGCCCUUCAGUGCUGCAGCUAACGCAUUAAGCACUCCGCCUGGGGAGUACGACCGCAAGGUUGAAACUCAAAGGAAUUGACGGGGGCCCGCACAAGCGGUGGAGCAUGUGGUUUAAUUCGAUGCUACGCGAAGAACCUUACCAGGUCUUGACAUCUUCUGCUAACCUAAGAGAUUAGGCGUUCCCUUCGGGGACGGAAUGACAGGUGGUGCAUGGUUGUCGUCAGCUCGUGUCGUGAGAUGUUGGGUUAAGUCCCGCAACGAGCGCAACCCUUAUUGUCAGUUGCCAGCAUUUAGUUGGGCACUCUGGCGAAACUGCCGGUGACAAACCGGAGGAAGGUGGGGGAUGACGUCAAAUCAUCAUGCCCCUUAUAACUGG
This 1203-nucleotide ribosomal RNA is filed under the name Lentilactobacillus hilgardii. RNAcentral describes it as "bacterial SSU rRNA". It matches the Rfam family "Bacterial small subunit ribosomal RNA", at positions 50 to 1211 of the family's 1533-position model. The record is from RNAcentral. Lineage: Bacteria; Bacillati; Bacillota; Bacilli; Lactobacillales; Lactobacillaceae.